RNAcentral lists this ribosomal RNA (253 nucleotides) under uncultured bacterium. Its description in RNAcentral is "partial 16S ribosomal RNA". It matches the Rfam family "Bacterial small subunit ribosomal RNA", at positions 524 to 776 of the family's 1533-position model. The record is from RNAcentral.
UACGGAGGGUGCGAGCGUUGUCCGGAAUCACUGGGCGUAAAGGGCGCGUAGGCGGUCCGUUAAGCGUGCGGUGAAAGCCCGGGGCUCAACCCCGGGUCGGCCGUGCGGACUGGCGGGCUGGAGCACUGUAGAGGCAGGCGGAAUUCCGGGUGUAGCGGUGGAAUGCGUAGAGAUCCGGAAGAACACCGGUGGCGAAGGCGGCCUGCUGGGCAGUGGCUGACGCUGAGGCGCGACAGCGUGGGGAGCAAACAGG